AGUGAACGCUGGCGGUAGGCCUAACACAUGCCAGUCGAACGGCAGCACAGUAAGAGCUUGCUCUUACGGGUGGCGAGUGGCGGACGGGUGAGGAAUACAUCGGAAUCUACUUUUUCAUGGGGGAUAACGUAGGGAAACUUACGCUAAUACCGCAUACGACCUACGGGUGAAAGCAGGGGAUCUUCGGACCUUGCGCGAUUGAAUGAGCCGAUGUCGGAUUAGCUAGUUGGCGGGGUAAAGGCCCACCAAGGCGACGAUCCGUAGCUGGUCUGAGAGGAUGAUCAGCCACACUGGAACUGAGACACGGUCCAGACUCCUACGGGAGGCAGCAGUGGGGAAUAUUGGACAAUGGGCGCAAGCCUGAUCCAGCCAUACCGCGUGGGUGAAGAAGGCCUUCGGGUUGUAAAGCCCUUUUGUUGGGAAAGAAAAGCAGCAGGUUAAUACCCCGCUGUUCUGACGGUACCCAAAGAAUAAGCACCGGCUAACUUCGUG
This 492-nucleotide ribosomal RNA is filed under the name uncultured bacterium. RNAcentral's name for it is "partial 16S ribosomal RNA". It matches the Rfam family "Bacterial small subunit ribosomal RNA", at positions 29 to 507 of the family's 1533-position model. The record is from RNAcentral.